This 497-nucleotide ribosomal RNA is filed under the name uncultured bacterium. RNAcentral's name for it is "partial 16S ribosomal RNA". It matches the Rfam family "Bacterial small subunit ribosomal RNA", at positions 28 to 507 of the family's 1533-position model. The record is from RNAcentral.
GAUGAACGCUGGCGGCGUGCCUAAUACAUGCAAGUCGAGCGAACGGACGAGAAGCUUGCUUUUCUGAUGUUAGCGGCGGACGGGUGAGUAACACGUGGAUAACCUACCUAUAAGACUGGGAUAACUUCGGGAAACCGGAGCUAAUACCGGAUAAUAUUUUGAACCGCAUGGUUCAAAAGUGAAAGACGGUCUUGCUGUCACUUAUAGAUGGAUCCGCGCUGCAUUAGCUAGUCGGUAAGGUAACGGCUUACCAAGGCAACGAUGCAUAGCCGACCUGAGAGGGUGAUCGGCCACACUGGAACUGAGACACGGUCCAGACUCCUACGGGAGGCAGCAGUAGGGCAUCUUCCGCAAUGGGCGAAAGCCUGACGGAGCAACGCCGCGUGAGUGAUGAAGGUCUUCGGAUCGUAAAACUCUGUUAUUAGGGAAGAACAUAUGUGUAAGUAACUGUGCACAUCUUGACGGUACCUAAUCAGAAAGCCACGGCUAACUACGUG